RNAcentral lists this ribosomal RNA (234 nucleotides) under Triticum aestivum (bread wheat). Its description in RNAcentral is "partial small subunit ribosomal RNA". Lineage: Eukaryota; Viridiplantae; Streptophyta; Magnoliopsida; Poales; Poaceae. The record is from RNAcentral.
AUGGCAGGGCGAGCGGCGCGGGGGCAGGGGCGAGCUGUCCUGGCGGACACGGGGGUAGGGGAGAGCGGCCGCGGCGAGCUGCGGGGCAGGAAAAGGCCGAGCUGUAGCAUCAACACAAACAAAUGCUGGCCGCAACUGCCAAGACGUCUCCAUGGGGGCUAUCCUAGUGAGCCUAGUUACCAGGCGCCGGAGUGGGAUCAUCAGGUGCUUUUCAUCACCUAUAUUGUGUUAUGA